This 714-nucleotide long non-coding RNA is filed under the name Trifolium pratense (red clover). RNAcentral's name for it is "long non-coding RNA (TPRA_LNC003457)". The record is from RNAcentral. Lineage: Eukaryota; Viridiplantae; Streptophyta; Magnoliopsida; Fabales; Fabaceae.
GAAAAACCAUAAUAAAUUCAAAUUGAACCGCGCAAAAGUAUAUGAAAACCUCUCCGCCAUCAUCAAGAACAAAAACCUCUCCAUGUUCAAACGGAGACAUGGUGCCAGCGUCUAUGUUCAAAUACGGAUAUGCAAAAGUGAAGGAAUGAUAAGAAACGGUUACAAAUAAGUUUGAGUUUGUUGAAAAGAUGAUGAGAGAGAGAGAGAGUGAGAACCGAUUUUGAUGGAAGUGACGCGAAGGCCGCAGGCUUUGAGUACGACGCCGAUGCUGCUGGCGGUGACGCCUUUGCCGAGGCCGCUGACGACUCCACCGGUGAUGACAACGUACUUCAUAAUUUGUGAAUUUUGGGGAAAUGAGAAGAAUUUUUAGGGAUUUUUAGGGAUUCAAUGAAAUUGGGAUUUUUAGGGACGAUUUAGCCAUGGCUUCACGUAAGGGAUGAAUGAAGAGGAAUGAACAAAUUAAUUAAUUAAUGAACAUUCCACUACCGGUGAAUAUCAAAUCGGUAGUGAAAUACAAUUAAAACAAAUUUUAACGUAAUUAUAAUAUUGCCACCGUGUCUACUUUUCACUACUGAUUUAAGAAAACCUGUAGUGAAAUCCCUUAUCUAUGAACUUUUCACUACUGGUAUUCAAAUAUCAGUAGUGGAAUCCUUUGGUCAAAUGGUUUUAACUACUGGUAUUCACAUACCAGUAGUGGAAUCUCUUAGCCAAAAG